ACACACACACCGGGCGGCAGGAGGCGAUGGUAGUGGAGAUGUUGGGCGGUGGUCGCAGCCAGUACACCUUUGCUGGCAAGUUUGCAAGUGAGGACGUGAGGAGUCGUUACCGUCAUAGCUUGUGCCGCCAAAAGCAGGUGAUAUCACGAAGAGCAAGCAGAAGAAACCUUUGGAGUUGUUCGUAACUGCAAGAAGCACGCAUCGCCAGGCCUUUGUGUAUGAGGUGUGGCGGUGACUGAAGGAAUCAACUCUCAGGAACUCAGGAGGGGAUGAAGAUGGAAAGGGAAGGGC
Molecule: long non-coding RNA, 291 nt
Organism: Portunus trituberculatus (swimming crab)
Lineage: Eukaryota; Metazoa; Arthropoda; Malacostraca; Decapoda; Portunidae
Exons: 3
Source: RefSeq, a predicted model, not a curated record